CAGUUGGGCUCGGACAGCACAUACCCCCAGCUGCAAAACCCUUACAUCACAGCAGUCUCAGGACAGCGGCGCCAGGCCAGCAGCGUCAAGCCGGAAGUGGAGUUCGGCAAGAUGCUACUACAAAUCAAGCCCAGUUCCCAAAAAGCCUGUUGUACAGCAGAUGACCCCUUCUGCUGCAAAGAAGAAAAGGGAGCAGUGGAGGGUAAACCAGAGGAACUGGAGGGAAAGAUUAAAGCAGAUCAAUGAAUUAAUGAACGACACUCCUGUCUCAAUGAAUGAGUCUAAUCUUGAAGAACCCCAACCCAGAGAGCCAGAUGACCCUCAAGAGAAUCUCCAGCCACUUGCUUCUUCUUCCCCAGAAAGAAAUGGCAAUGUGCGAACAAAAAAUGCAAACAAAAAUAAACUAAAGAAUGAAAUAGUCAAACUUAAAAGGCAACUUGCUCUGUCAAACAAAAAAAAUGAGAAACUAAGAAAACGUCUGCAAAGGGUUAACAAAACAAAAGUAGUGCACGUCAAUGAGAAACGGAAGUCACGGGGAGCCAAGAAGUUUGCUGCAGUAAAGAAGGCACAGGUUACUCACUUCCUGUGUAGGGAUGAAAAUAGUAGACUUCUACCAGGAAAAAAAGACACAGUGACAAAAAAAAGAGAAAGUUCAAAGAAGAGUCCUACAAAAACCAAUGAAAG
This is a long non-coding RNA of Cyprinus carpio carpio, 684 nucleotides long. Lineage: Eukaryota; Metazoa; Chordata; Actinopteri; Cypriniformes; Cyprinidae. The record is from Ensembl.